UACGGAGGGUGCAAGCGUUAAUCGGAAUUACUGGGCGUAAAGAGCACGUAGGCGGCAUAGUCAGUCUGAUGUGAAAGCCCUGGGCUUAACCUAGGAAUAGCAUUGGAUACUGCUAAGCUAGAGUGUGACAGAGGGUAGUGGAAUUUCCGGUGUAGCGGUGAAAUGCAUAGAUAUCGGAAGGAACAUCAGUGGCGAAGGCGGCUACCUGGCUUGGUUCUGACACUGAGGUACGAAAGCGUGGGGAGCAAACAGG
This 253-nucleotide ribosomal RNA is filed under the name uncultured bacterium. Its description in RNAcentral is "partial 16S ribosomal RNA". It matches the Rfam family "Bacterial small subunit ribosomal RNA", at positions 524 to 776 of the family's 1533-position model. The record is from RNAcentral.